GAUGAAGAACGUAGCGAAAUGCGAUAAGUAAUGUGAAUUGCAGAAUUCAGUGAAUCAUCGAAUCUUUGAACGCACAUUGCGCCCGCCAGCAUUCUGGCGGGCAUGCCUGUUCGAGCGUCAUUUCAACCCUCGAGCCCCCCCGGGGCCUCGGUGUUGGGGGACGGCACACCAGCCGCCCCCGAAAUGCAGUGGCGACCCCGCCGCAGCCUCCCCUGCGUAGUAGCACACACCUCGCACCGGAGCGCGGAGGCGGUCACGCCGUAAAACGCCCAACUUUCUUAGAGUUGACCUCGGAUCAGGUAGGAAUACCCGCUGAACUUAAGCAUAUCAAUAAGCGGAGGA
This 342-nucleotide unclassified non-coding RNA is filed under the name soil metagenome. RNAcentral describes it as "partial contains 5.8S ribosomal RNA, internal transcribed spacer 2, and large subunit ribosomal RNA". The stretch from base 1 to 120 matches the Rfam family "5.8S ribosomal RNA", at positions 35 to 154 of the family's 154-position model. The record is from RNAcentral.